GAUGAACGCUGGCGGCGUGCCUAAUACAUGCAAGUCGAGCGAACGGACGAGAAACUUGCUUCUCUGAUGUUAGCGGCGGACGGGUGAGUAACACGUGGAUAACCUACCUAUAUGACUGGGAUAACUUCGGGAAACCGGAGCUAAUACCGGGUAAUAUUUUGAACCGCAUGGUUCAAAAGUGAAAGACGGUCUUGCUGUCACUUAUAGAUGGAUCCGCGCUGCAUUAUCUAGUUGGUAAGGUAACGGCUUACCAAGGCAACGAUGCAUAGCCGACCUGAGAGGGGGAUCGGCCACACUGGAACGGAGAAACGGUCCAGACUCCUACGGGAGGCAGCAGUAGGGAAUCUUCCGCAAUGGGCGAAAGCCUGACGGGGCAACGCCGCGUGAGUGAUGAAGGUCUUCGGAUCGUAAAACUCUGUUAUUAGGGAAGAACAUAUGUGUAAGUAACUGUGCACAUCUUGACGGUACCUAAUCAGAAAGCCACGGCUAACUACGUG
RNAcentral lists this ribosomal RNA (497 nucleotides) under uncultured bacterium. RNAcentral's name for it is "partial 16S ribosomal RNA". It matches the Rfam family "Bacterial small subunit ribosomal RNA", at positions 28 to 507 of the family's 1533-position model. The record is from RNAcentral.